UACGUAGGGUGCAAGCGUUGUCCGGAAUUAUUGGGCGUAAAGAGCUCGUAGGUGGUCUGUUGCGUCGGCUGUGAAAACCCGGGGCUCAACCCCGGGCCUGCAGCCGAUACGGGCAGACUAGAGCUCGGCAGGGGAGACUGGAAUUCCUGGUGUAGCGGUGAAAUGCGCAGAUAUCAGGAGGAACACCGGUGGCGAAGGCGGGUCUCUGGGCCGAUACUGACACUGAGGAGCGAAAGCGUGGGGAGCGAACAGG
Molecule: ribosomal RNA, 253 nt
Filed under: uncultured bacterium
Lineage: Bacteria
Description: partial 16S ribosomal RNA
Rfam family: Bacterial small subunit ribosomal RNA
Source: RNAcentral